RNAcentral lists this unclassified non-coding RNA (472 nucleotides) under Hevea brasiliensis (rubber tree). The record is from RNAcentral. Lineage: Eukaryota; Viridiplantae; Streptophyta; Magnoliopsida; Malpighiales; Euphorbiaceae.
GCUCCCUUUUCACCCUGCAAGAGUAUAUCUCCCAGCUUAUUCCUUGCAAUCCCUGUACCAAGGAUUGCACCAAGGAAAUCACCAUGAGAACAAGGUUGAAAUGAAAAGUUCCCUGAAAUACUCAAGGCUGCAACAUUAUCUGGAUCACUUGUUAAUGCCUCCACGUGUCCAACUGAGAGUCGGCAUCGUUCAGCCUCUGGGUAUCCUCCUUGUGCAACUAUUCUGAGAUCAGCUAACCUUUCUAAGACUAGCAUUGACUCUUUUAAUACAGGUGGAGUCAGAAACUCAGUAUGUAAAACUUCUCGUCUUAAUGAUGCCCGUUUUGCCAGUUCAACAAUACGUUUCACAUCUUCAAUGGUGUUCUUGUCUCUCACUCCUUUCAGUAAAAUAUCAGCAUCACCCUUAAUAGCCUGUGGUAGGCUGCAUAUUCCAAAAGCUGAGGGGUGUAGAGGUGUUCGGAGGAUGAGGUUUG